Molecule: ribosomal RNA, 372 nt
Filed under: Elphidium williamsoni
Lineage: Eukaryota; Foraminifera; Rotaliida; Elphidiidae
Description: SSU rRNA
Rfam family: Eukaryotic small subunit ribosomal RNA
Source: RNAcentral
GCAUGUGGCUUAAUUUGACUCAACGCGGGAAAUCUUACCGGGUCCGGACACACUGAGGAUUGACAGACAAAUAUGGAAAUUUUAUAUUUCUCAUAUAUAAAGAUGCUAGUUCUUUCAUGAUUAUGUGAUAGGUGGUGCAUGGCCGUUCUUAGUUCGUGGAGUGAUCUGUCUGCUUAAUUGCGUUUCAAUUUUUAUUAUGUAUACGUAUGACCCACGUUUACGCGUGCGAGUCUAGUAUGCUAUCAUUUGAAAGCAACGAACGUGACCGUAUCCUUUUAUUAUAUACGCACGCGUAUAUUUAUUCAUUAAAGGGACCGCUGUUUCUUUUUUUAAACCAGAGGAAGGUUACGGCAAUAACAGGUCUGUGAUGCC